AUUGAACGCUGGCGGCAGGCCUAACACAUGCAAGUCGAGCGGAUGAAGGGAGCUUGCUCCUGGAUUCAGCGGCGGACGGGUGAGUAAUGCCUAGGAAUCUGCCUGGUAGUGGGGGAUAACGUCCGGAAACGGGCGCUAAUACCGCAUACGUCCUGAGGGAGAAAGUGGGGGAUCUUCGGACCUCACGCUAUCAGAUGAGCCUAGGUCGGAUUAGCUAGUUGGUGGGGUAAAGGCCUACCAAGGCGACGAUCCGUAACUGGUCUGAGAGGAUGAUCACUCACCUUGGAACUGGGACACGGUCAAGACUCCUACGGGAGGCACCAGUGGGGAAUAUUGGACAGUGGGCGAAAGCCUGACACAGCCAUGCGGCGUGUGUGAAGAAGGUCUUCGGAUUGUAAUGACCUUUAAGUUGGGAGGAAGGGCAGUAAGUUAAUACCUUGCUGUUUUGACGUUACAAACAGAAGAAGCACCGGCUAACUUCGUG
This 484-nucleotide ribosomal RNA is filed under the name uncultured bacterium. Its description in RNAcentral is "partial 16S ribosomal RNA". It matches the Rfam family "Bacterial small subunit ribosomal RNA", at positions 30 to 507 of the family's 1533-position model. The record is from RNAcentral.